GGGGAUGUAAUGGAUUCGACAUGCAUCGGGUGGUAUUAACAUCAGUGGUGUAGUAGACCAUAAUUACUACUAGGCUUUAUACUUGCAAAAGAUAAAGAAAACAAGGAAGAAAUUAAUCUUCCAGCGUUUGCAAUCGCUAACAAAUUGCAAUCAAACCUUGUUUUUGCUUAGUUAUAGCAUACAAGUGGAUUAGUAUAAUUGUCUCAUUAUAUUAAUUCGGUUCAGAGACUUACUUUAGUAAAUGCAUCAUUUACUUAGAGGACAUUAAAGAUGCAAAUCCUAAAGACAUUCUGUUUAUUUUAAUCUUUAGGAUGAUCCCAAAAAUAAACUAAACUGUAAGAAGUGUUAAUAUUUGUUUGGUGUGUGGACACGGGUUCGACUCCCGUCAUCUCCACCA
Molecule: transfer-messenger RNA, 397 nt
Filed under: Mycoplasma sp. Mirounga ES2805-ORL
Lineage: Bacteria; Bacillati; Mycoplasmatota; Mollicutes; Mycoplasmatales; Mycoplasmataceae
Also listed under: 1 other name
Rfam family: transfer-messenger RNA
About the family: Bacterial tmRNA, also known as 10Sa RNA or SsrA, is named for its dual tRNA and mRNA-like properties. Its role is to liberate the mRNA from a stalled ribosome. To accomplish this part of the tmRNA is used as a reading frame that ends in a translation stop signal.
Source: Rfam by way of RNAcentral